RNAcentral lists this unclassified non-coding RNA (280 nucleotides) under Hevea brasiliensis (rubber tree). Lineage: Eukaryota; Viridiplantae; Streptophyta; Magnoliopsida; Malpighiales; Euphorbiaceae. The record is from RNAcentral.
CCCGAAUAGUGUCUGCAGAAGUGUAUUGAUCCCCUCGACAAAUAGCAGAGUCUGCACCACCCUCACUUUAUCACCAUGAUCACCACCCAUCAAAGGAACAAGAAAUGAAGGGAUCAUAACAGCAGUUCCUAAUGCCAAAAUGUAAUGCUGGAAACCAAGAGCUAUAGCUUCUCCCCAAGAUGGGUUGGAGUCAAUACAGUACUCUAAACCUUGAAGUUGGUCCAUUGGUGGGUGACUUAUCUCUUCUGGUUUUGGAGCUGCCAUCGCCUCUACCUAUUAC